This 639-nucleotide ribosomal RNA is filed under the name uncultured bacterium. Its description in RNAcentral is "bacterial SSU rRNA". It matches the Rfam family "Bacterial small subunit ribosomal RNA", at positions 202 to 842 of the family's 1533-position model. The record is from RNAcentral.
AAAAACUGAGGUGGUAUACGAUGGUUCCGCGUCUGAUUAGCUAGUUGGUGGGGUAAAAGCCUACCAAGGCAACGAUCAGUAGCCGGCCUGAGAGGGUGAACGGCCACAUUGGGACUGAGACACGGCCCAAACUCCUACGGGAGGCAGCAGUGGGGAAUAUUGCACAAUGGGGGAAACCCUGAUGCAGCGACGCCGCGUGAGUGAAGAAGUAUUUCGGUAUGUAAAGCUCUAUCAGCAGGGAAGAAAUACUGACCAUAGGGUCAGCAGACGGUACUUGACUAAGAAGCCCCGGCUAACUACGUGCCAGCAGCCGCGGUAAUACGUAGGGGGCAAGCGUUAUCCGGAUUUACUGGGUGUAAAGGGAGCGUAGACGGCAGCGCAAGUCUGAAGUGAAAUGCCAGGGCUUAACCCUGGAACUGCUUUGGAAACUGUGCAGCUAGAGUGCAGGAGAGGUAAGUGGAAUUUCUAGUGUAGCGGUGAAAUGCGUAGAUAUUAGGAGGAACACCAGUGGCGAAGGCGGCUUACUGGACUGUAACUGACGUUGAGGCUCGAAAGCGUGGGGAGCAAACAGGAUUAGAUACCCUGGUAGUCCACGCUGUAAACGAUGAUUACUAGGUGUUGGGGGACCAAGGUUCUUCG